UCUCUACGAUACGCGGCUCUUUCUCUUCUCAAACGUGUAACAUAGUCUCUUCUUGUUUUUGGUGCUUUGAGUUGUUUUCUUAAUUUGCUAACACCUGUGUUUCAUGGGGAUCAACAAUAAACUUUGGGGGUUAAACAUUAUCUCUUCAGGUUUUGAUGGGAUCAACGAUAUAUUUUGUGUUAAAGAUUAUCUGUUCAGAACUGCUGACGCUUCUGUUUCAUUUGGUACGACAAAAAAAGCUGCUCGACGUGCUUACAGGUAACAUCGUGUCAUUCAUUGUGUUCCUUUGUCC
Molecule: long non-coding RNA, 292 nt
Organism: Nicotiana attenuata
Lineage: Eukaryota; Viridiplantae; Streptophyta; Magnoliopsida; Solanales; Solanaceae
Exons: 3
Source: RefSeq, a predicted model, not a curated record